Molecule: non-coding RNA, 114 nt
Filed under: Pseudarthrobacter siccitolerans
Lineage: Bacteria; Bacillati; Actinomycetota; Actinomycetes; Micrococcales; Micrococcaceae
Also listed under: 1 other name
Description: Arthrobacter siccitolerans SAM-IV sequence
Rfam family: SAM (S-adenosyl methionine) riboswitch aptamer
About the family: SAM-IV is a mRNA element that regulates gene expression via direct sensing of S-adenosylmethionine (SAM or AdoMet). SAM-IV riboswitches share conserved nucleotide positions with the previously described SAM-I riboswitches sequence analysis and molecular recognition experiments suggest that SAM-I and SAM-IV riboswitches share similar ligand binding sites, but have different scaffolds.
Source: RNAcentral
GGUCACGAGUGCCAGCGCGAAACCCCGGUUUGCUGGCCGGCAACCCUCCAACCGCGGUGGGGUGCCCCGGGUGACGACCAGGCCGGUCCGGAGCGGAUGCGGCAAGCGCGGAUU